GACGAACGCUGGCGGCGUGCUUAACACAUGCAAGUCGAACGGAAAGGCCCUGCUUGCAGGGUGCUCGAGUGGCGAACGGGUGAGUAACACGUGGGUGAUCUGCUCCUUACUUUGGGAUAAGCCUGGGAAACUGGGUCUAAUACUGGAUAGGACCAUGCUGUAGGUGGUGUGGUGGAAAGAUUUUUUCGGUAAGGGAUGAGCUCGCGGCCUAUCAGCUUGUUGGUGGGGUAAUGGCCUACCAAGGCGUCGACGGGUAGCCGGCCUGAGAGGGUGGACGGCCACAUUGGGACUGAGAUACGGCCCAGACUCCUACGGGAGGCAGCAGUGGGGAAUAUUGCACAAUGGGCGCAAGCCUGAUGCAGCGACGCCGCGUGGGGGAUGACGGCCUUCGGGUUGUAAACUCCUUUCAGCCAUGACGAAGCCUCUUUUGGGGUGACGGUAGUGGUAGAAGAAGCACCGGCUAACUACGUG
Molecule: ribosomal RNA, 471 nt
Filed under: uncultured bacterium
Lineage: Bacteria
Description: partial 16S ribosomal RNA
Rfam family: Bacterial small subunit ribosomal RNA
Source: RNAcentral